RNAcentral lists this ribosomal RNA (497 nucleotides) under uncultured bacterium. Its description in RNAcentral is "partial 16S ribosomal RNA". It matches the Rfam family "Bacterial small subunit ribosomal RNA", at positions 28 to 507 of the family's 1533-position model. The record is from RNAcentral.
GAUGAACGCUGGCGGCGUGCCUAAUACAUGCAAGUCGGGCGAACAGACGAGGAGCUUGCUCCUCUGACGUUAGCGGCAGACGGGUGAGUAACACGUGGAUAACCUACCUAUAAGACUGGGAUAACUUCGGGAAACCGGAGCUAAUACCGGAUAAUAUAUUGAACCGCAUGGUUCAAUAGUGAAAGACGGUUUUGCUGUCACUUAUAGAUGGAUCCGCGCCGCAUUAGCUAGUUGGUAAGGUAACGGCUUACCAAGGCAACGAUGCGUAGCCGACCUGAGAGGGUGAUCGGCCACACUGGAACUGAGACACGGUCCAGACUCCUACGGGAGGCAGCAGUAGGGAAUCUUCCGCAAUGGGCGAAAGCUUGACGGAGCAACGCCGCGUGAGUGAUGAAGGUCUUCGGAUCGUAAAACUCUGUUAUUAGGGAAGAACAAAUGUGUAAGUAACUAUGCACGUCUUGACGGUACCGAAUCAGAAAGCCCCGGCUAACUACGUG